Molecule: long non-coding RNA, 971 nt
Filed under: Homo sapiens (human)
Lineage: Eukaryota; Metazoa; Chordata; Mammalia; Primates; Hominidae
Description: HSALNT0228179
Source: RNAcentral
CUCUUGUUGCCCAGGCUGGAGUGCAAUGGCAUGAUCUCGGCUCACUGCCACCUCCACCUCCCAGGUUCAAGCAAUUCUCCUGCCUCAGCCUCUCGACCUCCCUAGUAGCUGGGAUUACAGGCGUGCACCACUAUGCUCGGCUAAUUUUUGUAUUUUUACUACAGAUGGGGUUUCACCAUGUUGGCCAGGCUGAUCUUGAACUGCUGACCUCAGACCCCCAGCAGUCUGUAAGUCACCAAGUUCCAACCUCAUUCCUGUUCCACUUUGAGGUCUCAGUCUCCCCCAGGUGACCAAAAGUCUUUAAUUUUUUUAUUCAUUUAGCCAUUCAGCAAAAAGUGUACCACAUUUCUACUCGAUGCCACAGUUGGCAGACUUUUUCUAUAUGGGCCAAGAGAAAAUAUUUUGGACUCUGUGAGCCAUACAGUGAUCUCAGUGGCAAUUACUCAACUCUGCCAUUGAACGCAAAAGCAGAAUAUGUCAACAAAUUGCAUGGCUGUGUUGCAAUAACACUAUUUGCAGAAACAGGCAGUGGGCCAGAUUUGGUCAUAGUUUGCCAAACCCCGCUAUGCCCUAGCAAGGGCAUAAGGAUCUAUGGUGAACAAGCAGAUAGAGUUUCUGUUCUCACGUAGCUACUGGUCAAGCAGGGGAACCAGACACUGGUCACAAAAUUAAACAAAUAUGUUGAAAAUUGGAUGGUCACAGUGGCUCAUGCCUGUAAUCCCAACACUUUGGGAGGCCAAGGCAGGUGGAUCACUUGAGGUCGAGAGUUCAAAGCCAGCCUGGCCAACAUGGUAAAGCCUCAUCUCUUCUAAAAUUACAAAAAUUAGCCAGGCAUGGUGGUGCACGCCUGUAAUCCCAGCUACUCGGGAGGCUGAGGCAGGAGAAUUGCUUGAAUCCGGGAUGUGGAGGUUGCAGGGAGCCAAGACUGUGCAUUUGCACUCCAGCCUGGGCAACAAGAGCGGAACUCCACC